UUGUUCGUACCAAGAACCGACACAGGUGUCCCUAGGUGAGUAGCCUAAGGCGUGUUAGCAUAAUCGUGGCGAGGGAACUCGGCAAAUUAGCCCUGUAACUUCGGGAUAAGGGGUGCCAGCAGUGAGAGCUGCUGGUCGCAGUGACAAGAGAACACCGACUGUUUAAUAAAAACAUAGGUCUCUGCUAGUUCGAAAGGAUGUGUAUAGAGGCCGAAGCCUGCCCAGUGUCGGCAUCUGAAAAUCUGUUCCAACGGAUCGAAGGACCGAUAAACGGCGGGGGUAACUAUGACCCUCUUAAGGUAGCGUAAUACCUUGUCGCUUAAUUGGCGACUUGCAUGAAGGCUCAACGAGUGUUCUACUGUCCCCGCCAUGACGCUAGUGAAAUCAAUCAGUCUGGUGCACAAUCCAGACCCCUCCAUCUGAAAGCGAAGACCCCAUGGAGUUUCACUGCAACCUGUUGUUGUUGUAAGAAUUGGCAUGUGUAGGGUAGGCGGGAGACGUUACCCAGGAAGGUGCGCUAGCAUCUCUCCGAGUCACCGAUGAAACACCGCCCUUGCAAGUUUUUACGACUCACCUCUCCGGAGGAACAGCUAUAGGCAGGCAGUUCGGGUGGGGCGCCACGCCCUCAAAAAGAUAACAAGGGUGCCCAAAGGUUGGCUCAGGUAGGUCAGAAAUCUACCGAAGAAUGUAAGGGUAUAAGCCAGCUUGACUCGGAACCAGACAAUAGGGUUCGGAGAUAGGAAACUAAGGCCUAACGAACCAAUCAACCUCCUGAAUGGGGGUGAUUGAUGUCAGAAAAAUUACCCUGGGGAUAAUUGAGUUGUCACGAGCAAGAGUUCACAUCGACCUCGUGGCUUGCUACUUCGCUGUCGGCUCUCCCUAUCCUGGUGGUGCAGCAGCUGCCAAGGGUGGGGUUGUUCGCCCAUUAAAAGGGAUCGUGAGCUGGGUUUAAAACGUCGCGAGACAGUUUUGUUGCUUUUUGAUGGAGGUGUUGGUACCUGAUGAGAAGGACCCUUUAGUACGAGAGGAACAGGGGUUCGUCGCCUCUAGUUUAUCAGUUGUCUGACAAGGCAAGCUGAGUAGCCACGCGGUAGUGGAUAAGAGCUGAAGGCAUCUAAGCUCGAAGCCAUCUUAAAAAAGAGGUACCCAUAGGACGCUCGUAAAUGACGAGUUCGAUAGAAGCCGGAUGUAAGUGCCGAGGUUCGCCGAGGUAUUCAGUCCUGGCUCACUAAAGUUCUUUGACGUCGCU
This 1249-nucleotide ribosomal RNA is filed under the name human gut metagenome. RNAcentral's name for it is "bacterial LSU rRNA". It matches the Rfam family "Archaeal large subunit ribosomal RNA", at positions 1732 to 2987 of the family's 2987-position model. The record is from RNAcentral.